UCGGGAAUUUUGGGCAAUGGGCGAAAGCCUGACCCAGCAACGCCGCGUGAAGGAUGAAAUCCCUCGGGAUGUAAACUUCGCAAGAAUGGGAAGAAUAAGUGCGAGCUAAUAUCUCGCAUGAUGACGGUACUAUUUGUAAGCUCCGGCUAACUCCGUGCCAGCAGCCGCGGUAAUACGGGGGGAGCAAGCGUUGUUCGGAUUUACUGGGCGUAAAGGGCGCGUAGGCGGCGUGACUAGUCACUUGUGAAAUCUCCGGGCUUAACUCGGAACGGUCAAGUGAUACUGUCGUGCUAGAGUACAGAAGGGGCAACUGGAAUUCUCGGUGUAGCGGUGAAAUGCGUAGAUAUCGAGAGGAACACCUGCGGCGAAGGCGGGUUGCUGGGCUGAUACUGACGCUGAUGCGCGAAAGCCAGGGGAGCGAACGGGAUUAGAUACCCCCGUAGUCC
This 446-nucleotide ribosomal RNA is filed under the name uncultured bacterium. Its description in RNAcentral is "bacterial SSU rRNA". It matches the Rfam family "Bacterial small subunit ribosomal RNA", at positions 355 to 796 of the family's 1533-position model. The record is from RNAcentral.